Protopterus annectens (West African lungfish) is the source of this 975-nucleotide long non-coding RNA. RefSeq lists it as uncharacterized. The record is from RefSeq and is a predicted model, not a curated record. The transcript is spliced from 3 exons. NCBI's taxonomy places the organism in Eukaryota, Metazoa, Chordata, Ceratodontiformes, Protopteridae.
CUCCUGAUAUGGCUACCUGUUAUAUCCUAUAACUAAGACUACUGCAGCAGUGACAAACAUGAUGAAAUUUUGGAGGUGUUACUAUGCUAAAUCCUACAUCCAUUCAUUGAUGUAAUGUGACAGCAUGUGGAGGAGCAUAUUUGGUUUCCAUGGACAGCAGAGGAAAGUACCAACAAUAUGUGGACAUUCUAUAACUUAGCCUAUUUUCUUGAGGCCCUGGGAACCAUUGACUGCACCCACAUGGAUGUCAGGUUCCCAUCCACUUCACAGAGCAUCCAGUAUAUAAAGAAGAAGGUCUUUCACUUUAUCAGCUGCCAGGAAGUAUUGUGAAAUGCACAAGCAGCAGAGAUCACUUUGAACUAGAAGGCCUGUCUAAGCAGUGCAGGUUCUUCAGAAUGCAGGGACACAACAGCCCAUAUAAGUACUAUCUUGCCUGGCUCCACUAUUGUUACUGCCACUGUUUCCAUCUAAUCCUAUAAAAUCCAAGAAAUUCCACAAAAACAAAUAUUUGUUCUAAGGAAGAAGGAGGCUGGAUGGAACCUGCUAAAAAUGAGGCUGAGAAGAGGCAAACUGAAUUGUUGUAGUGAAGGAUUCUAGAUUCAUAAUGAUAAGCAGUCUAAUGGCAGAGGGAUAUGGUCAGUAAGACACACUCAACUGCUAGGUUUGAUUUCAUCAGUAGCCACUAGUAAACUGCAUGAUUCUUUGCAAGUCAUUUAACCAAACAAUGUGACUGGGUUGCCUGCAAAAACAGUCACAUACACUGAUUAAUCUAAGCGGGUUAAAAAAUGAAUACAAUUUCAAAUAAGUAAAUGGACAAACCAAUUAGACAGUUAAUGCCUUUGUGAGGCAUCAUCUAUCAUGGGCAAAAUUAAGAACAAGUGUGAAAAAAGUGACAAAUAAUGUGAGUUGCCAUCUGAUUAUAAAGAUAAUGCUGUAAAUCAGUACCAAAUAAAUAAAUAAAUAAAUAAAUCUCUA